ACUCAGCGGUGCACAGUCUCUGUGGCACGUCGUGGGGUCGUGCACUCGUUGAUUUUUGUGAAUUCUACAGCUGAGCCGAAGACACGAGUGUACGAUCGUGUUGGUUUUUACCACUAUUUUACUGAUAUUCCAGCGCAGAACAUACUGACACACAACAGUUUGUCGAGGUUUUUCUCUCUCUUUUCUUUCCACAAACUAACAUUUUCGCUUUCGGUUUUGACUUCUCCUCAUCAGCGCGUUUGGUGCGAUAUUGUUUAUGUGGCGAUACCUACCGAGAAUACCGCAGCGCCUUCUUCAGCCUGAACGGCGGGUAUAAGUAAAUAUGGCUGUAUCUGUGUGAUGAUGUUAAACGAAGGGACUAUUGCAGAAGGUAUACUGUCAGCUGCGUAAUGCCGAUCCUCCCAGGCGAAGAUGUGCCGCCUCCCACAGACGUGUGGCCCUCUCUGCUUGCCAUACUCGCUCCGAGUGGAGGCGCAGCAGGACAGCGCCCACAUUUUCCUCUGUUUCCUGAAGAGAACAGUUCAGCUGAAAAGUUGACACGACCAAGGAAGGAGGCCGAGUUGUGGUGAUUUUUGCCCUUCAUCUACAGUUCCUUUGAACAGGAAAGACUUUUAAACGGCCCUGCUAGCAUGAUGAAUUUACUGAGCACCAUGAAGUCAGCAGUAGGAUUAUUAAUUUUCCUUCUCAGUCAUGAUGCCUCAACGGCAGCUCCAAUAAACAUUGCUUCAGCAUCGACAGAGAAUGCAAGUCCUCAAACAGGCAUUUACCUUGACAUUGGCAUCAUAGCUGGCAUUGUCAUGGUCACUGUGAUUGUCUUUGCCUUGAUAGGAAUGUCUGACCAUGAACAGGAUGACGAACGUGUCAAGUUAAAUAAAGGUACGACUUCAAGCCAGGAAACACGCUGUACAAAAUGUUGCACCAAAUAUUCUGAAUAUUGUUGCAGUCUUUUAUCCUGUUGUUGUUCAGGUUGUGCUGAAUCACUUACCAAAGCUUGUGACAUAUGCUGCAUGUCUCUAGGUUAUGGAUGUAUGGUACCUUUAUAAAGUAUCCUUUGAAUGUUCUAUACAUCAUUUUUACUGUUAUACAGCUAUCCAUGCUCAUGAAAGUAUCUGAAUAUGUUUUGAUAUAACCUUUCUACUCAGUAAACAGACAGCAUUGCUUUACAGUGCAAGCUGCUUCCCUUCAUCCACAUGGACUCAGAAAUUACAUGCUAUUGUUUACACUCUGCAAGCCUUUGGAGCAUAGUUACCAAUGGAAAAAUAUGUUAUGCAAUGUACUAAUUAGUGUGAGCAGUGUGACAGUCAAGAGCACACUUAUAACUGUUCUUGUGAGAAGCCUGUAGAAAGAAAAGUGUUAUUGUGUGACAGUUUUACAGCAAAGGAGGGUGAGAAUGAUACAAUGUAAUAAAAAGCUCAUUGGGAACUUCCCCUUUUGAGCACUUGCAUUUGACGUAUUAGAGUCUGGGACUCCUUAAAAAGAAAGACGUUCUCCAAAAAAGCUGUUUGAGGAUGUAGAGGCGACUGGGAGAGUGAUGAUCUCCAUAAACCAGAGGAGCGAAUGGUGGGAGUCCGGGACUCCGACUUUUCUAGUCCGGGACUAGAGGGCAGCUUGUACAUGUUAAAAGCAAAAGUAAUAAUAAUAAAUUGUUGUUGUUGGGCAAAUAGGUUUUCCAAAAGAAGCUAGAUGCAAGGAAAUGCAAAAACCUAGUAAACCAAAUACGAACUAAGGAAUUAUGCAAAUCAAAAGACAAAAGGAAUUUAUGGUAGAGAAAGGGACAGUGAAGACUACUUUAACUGCAGUUGUCACGCACAUUGGGCACGAGCUUCCUUAGGAAAGAACAAAAGAGGGGGAAGUAAAGCUGGCAAAGAAGGGAGGGAGACGUUCUUAUAUGACCAGGGACUGUUAGCGGAUGCAGGAGUGGAGAAAAAGAGAUGAUCUGCUGAGCCAAUUUGAAAGACGUUUUACACAUGGAGGAUAAUAUACCACAUGUGACCCUAAAAAUUGGGGAAAAGACAUAAUAUUACUCUGUGAUUGUGGACUCACACGGGCAGUAAUCUAAAUGCUAUCUAAUGUUGUCUAAAGAAAUGGGUAAAAAAAACUGUGAAAAUGGAAAAUAGGGAGUCUGGAGAAACAAACUGUGAGUGCUGGAGUCUGUUGCUCAUCCUUAGGCCCUGUAAAUUUGCAGGGGAGAAAUUUAAUGACUGAACUAGGAAUAGAACCAGUAAAAAUAAUCCCCUAAACAUUUUAAAGCCCUCACAAAAGACAGCACCCACUAAAAAAAAGAAAAGAAAAGAAAGGGUGAGCAGAGAUGUAUCUAAAUUCCACGCAUGGAACCAAAUAAUCAUGAGCUGGAGAACAAAGAGUAUGAUGUAACAGCAGUAGCUGAAGUGAAAAGUAUUUAGGAUGAGCAUAUCGAAAAUCCUAACCAGAAGAGAUGUGUUACUGAAUGUUUUUGUUGAUAAACACAGCCUUAAUUAUGUGUAU
Pundamilia nyererei is the source of this 2484-nucleotide long non-coding RNA. RefSeq lists it as uncharacterized. The record is from RefSeq and is a predicted model, not a curated record. The transcript has 7 exons. NCBI's taxonomy places the organism in Eukaryota, Metazoa, Chordata, Actinopteri, Cichliformes, Cichlidae.